Molecule: non-coding RNA, 940 nt
Organism: Paramuricea clavata
Lineage: Eukaryota; Metazoa; Cnidaria; Anthozoa; Malacalcyonacea; Plexauridae
Source: the annotation of a GenBank genome assembly
AUUUAUUAAUACAUAAGUGUUUGAAAAUACUAAUGUUUCAUGCCAAGAAAAGGGUGGAGCUAAAUUAUCGCCAACCCUUAUGUCAUAAUAUUAUUCAAUAAAGUAAUUGUAUAAUUAUAAUCUUAAAAAUAAUACUAAGCUAUAGGUAUAUAAGUAUAUGAUUAAUUGAUUAAGUUGUUCAUAGCGAAUAGUCAACAUGAGAGGAGGUUUUGGGGAGGAGGUGGGUCAACUUUGAAUGAUGUCUUUCUCAGCAGUUGUAGUCGAUACUGACGAUUGGCAGUGUAGAUGUCCAUUAUAUAAGGUUUGCACCACUCCUCUCACCCACAUUGCGUGACAAUAUGCAUGCUCUAUUUUAGAUAUGGCGGCGCCAAGCUUAUAGUAUUAGUAAAUUCCCUUAACGGCUUAACACCUUCCUAAUAAUUCUAGUUUCCUGGUUAUUAAACUACUUUAGAUAAAGUAGAUUUUACUUUGAUAAAUCAUAUUACAUAAAUUCCUUAUUUUCUUCGCAAAUAUUCAGUUUUAUGUAAUGUGAUUUAUGUAUUAUAAAUUACCGACUGCCCUGUAGCAACCGCAUGUGCACGCAUUCAUUCUCCGAAGCUUUGUUUUCUUGGCAUUCGACAAACAUUAAAGAUAGCACACUUUUGGGAUAAUUUGGCUAGGAGUAACAAUCCUCCUAGCCGAUUUAUUUAAGUAAACAAAACAAUAUUUAUUAAUAUGUAUAUGUUUGAAAAUAGUAAUGUUUUGGAUAAUUUGGCUAGGAGUAACCAUCCUCCUAGCCGAUUCAUUUCAGUAAAUAAAACAAUAUUUAUUAAUACAUAAGUGUUUGAAAAUACUAAUGUUUCAUGCCAAGAAAAGGGUGGAGCUAAAUUAUCGCCAAAUCAUCGAGGUGAAACCGAGAUGAACCCCACCCCAAGGAGACUGAAUGCGUGCACUAAUAAUC